RNAcentral lists this long non-coding RNA (373 nucleotides) under Homo sapiens (human). Its description in RNAcentral is "HSALNT0388864". Lineage: Eukaryota; Metazoa; Chordata; Mammalia; Primates; Hominidae. The record is from RNAcentral.
AGCCUCAGGAACAGCUGGUCACUGCCCGGGUGGGCGGACACGCUGUCCUGGCACAGGGGCCUGGCGGGGCAGUGGCCAGAGCGGGGUCCGGCUGUCUGUGUUCCCUGGCUGGCAUGUUGGGAGGAAAAGACUUGGCUGACGGGCCGGAGGCCCCUGCGGCCCCAGGCCCCUGAAAGGAAGGUUCAGAAAGGCCCCUGUGUUCCGGCCUGGUCCAGAGCUGGCUUUUUCCAGACCAGGGCCUCAGGAGUCUUUGGAAAGAACACCGAGUACCUGACGCCCACUGCUGACUCGCUGUGUGACCUCAGGUGGAGAGACUGCCAACGGACGCAUCCAUAGCUGGGCUGAAGUCUGUGUCUCAACUUGUGUCCUGAUU